AUACCUUUCUCGGCCUUUUGGCUAAGAUCAAGUGUAUCUGUAUCAGUUUAAUAUCUGAUACGUGGGCCAUAGGUCCACACGAUAUUAAAUUACUUUUUUAAAGGGGAGGUUCCACUAUAGUAGCUUGCUACUAGGAUCCUCAAGCGUCGCCCUAGCGUUGCACUACUGCAAGGGCCAGGCGCACCCUCC
Molecule: small nuclear RNA, 189 nt
Filed under: Salix viminalis (osier)
Lineage: Eukaryota; Viridiplantae; Streptophyta; Magnoliopsida; Malpighiales; Salicaceae
Rfam family: U2 spliceosomal RNA
About the family: U2 is a small nuclear RNA (snRNA) component of the spliceosome (involved in pre-mRNA splicing). Complementary binding between U2 snRNA (in an area lying towards the 5' end but 3' to hairpin I) and the branchpoint sequence (BPS) of the intron results the bulging out of an unpaired adenosine, on the BPS, which initiates a nucleophilic attack at the intronic 5' splice site, thus starting the first of two transesterification reactions that mediate splicing.
Source: RNAcentral